RNAcentral lists this ribosomal RNA (253 nucleotides) under uncultured bacterium. RNAcentral describes it as "partial 16S ribosomal RNA". It matches the Rfam family "Bacterial small subunit ribosomal RNA", at positions 524 to 776 of the family's 1533-position model. The record is from RNAcentral.
UACAGAGGUGGCAAGCGUUGUUCGGAAUUACUGGGCGUAAAGGGCGCGUAGGCGGUUCGUUAAGUCCUGUGUGAAAUCCCCCGGCUCAACUGGGGAACUGCACAGGAAACUAGCGGGCUUGAGUUCGGGAGAGGGAAGCGGAAUUCCGGGUGUAGCGGUGAAAUUCGUAGAUAUCGGGAGGAACACCGGUGGCGAAGGCGGCGACCUGGGUAGAUACUGACGCUGAGGUGCGAAAGCGUGGGGAGCAAACAGG